RNAcentral lists this long non-coding RNA (330 nucleotides) under Olea europaea (common olive). RNAcentral's name for it is "long non-coding RNA (OEUR_LNC014723)". Lineage: Eukaryota; Viridiplantae; Streptophyta; Magnoliopsida; Lamiales; Oleaceae. The record is from RNAcentral.
CUCACCUAGACGCCCAAGAUGAAGAACCAAACCCAACAGAGAGAUGGGCGCUGCAGUGCCCAAUGAGAAGAAGAGAGACAGCGUGGUGCCAGGAGACCCACGUAUCGCUGAGUAAGCAAAAAUUGGCAAUCUUAAAAAUAUUUUCUACCCAAUCCACUUCAAUUUGAGACUGCAACGUGUUGGGACUAUAAAUACAUGGUUAAAGACCUAAUUUGGAGUAGAAGAAUGGCUGGAGAGAAAAAAUUUAAGAAGGAGAUGGCUCAAGAGGCAAGAUAGAUGGAAAUCAAUUGAGGGAAGAUUGACAACAAUUGGGGGAAGAAUUCAAGCAGC